UAAAAGAACACCUACACAAGUCUAAUAACUGAGCAAUCUGUAAACAACUGAAAUAGGCUUGAACACUGUUAAAUGCAUUGGAUUUUUGAAAAAUGAAAAAGAAAAUAGCUAAACGGGAGCAUCUGCAUACAAAAUGAAGGAAAAGGACCCUUAAAGGCAUUGGAGUUUUCAUGUAUUAAGGCAAUUCACAGCAAAACAGACUGGUCAAAACGCCAAACUUCAGAUUGCUUUAACAAGUCAUCUCAGUAGUAUGCUUCAACCAAAGCAAUGUUGACUGAAGACUACUCAGAGGAAAUUGCAAUUCACCAUACUUAGGUACCCCACAAGCAAUAUAACUCAUGCACUAUUCUGAACAACUAC
This 360-nucleotide long non-coding RNA is filed under the name Vitis vinifera (wine grape). Its description in RNAcentral is "long non-coding RNA (VVIN_LNC006420)". Lineage: Eukaryota; Viridiplantae; Streptophyta; Magnoliopsida; Vitales; Vitaceae. The record is from RNAcentral.